UCGCCUCUUGCAAAAACAAUGAAUAAGAGGUCCCGCCUGCCCUGUGACUUAAUGUUUAACGGCCGCGGUAUUUUGACCGUGCGAAGGUAGCGCAAUCACUUGUCUUUUAAAUGGAGACCUGUAUGAAUGGCACAACGAGGGCUUAACUGUCUCCUCUUUCCAGUCAAUGAAAUUGAUCUCCCCGUGCAGAAGCGGGGAUCUGCGCAUAAGACGAGAAGACCCUAUGGAGCUUUAGACACCAAGGCGAACCAUGUUAAACACCCCUAGAUAAAGGGCCAAACCAGGUGGAACCCGCCCUAAUGUCUUUGGUUGGGGCGACCGCGGGGAAAUAUAAAACCCCCACGUGGAAUGGGAAUACCCCUCCUACUACCAAGAGCUCCCGCUCUAAUAAACAGAAUUUCUGACCAAUCAGAUCCGGCAACGCCGAUCAACGGACCGAGUUACCCUAGGGAUAACAGCGCAAUCCCCUUUUAGAGCCCAUAUCGACAAGGGGGUUUACGACCUCGAUGUUGGAUCAGGACAUCCUAAUGGUGCAGCCGCUAUUAAGGGUUCGUUUGUUCAACGAUUAAAG
Molecule: ribosomal RNA, 571 nt
Filed under: Paracanthurus hepatus (palette surgeonfish)
Lineage: Eukaryota; Metazoa; Chordata; Actinopteri; Acanthuriformes; Acanthuridae
Description: partial 16S ribosomal RNA
Rfam family: Bacterial large subunit ribosomal RNA
Source: RNAcentral